Molecule: ribosomal RNA, 727 nt
Filed under: uncultured beta proteobacterium
Lineage: Bacteria; Pseudomonadati; Pseudomonadota; Betaproteobacteria
Description: bacterial SSU rRNA
Rfam family: Bacterial small subunit ribosomal RNA
Source: RNAcentral
AGCCGAAAGGUUGGCUAAUACCGCAUACGCCCUACGGGGGAAAGCAGGGGAUCUUCGGACCUUGCGUUAAUGGAGCGGCCGAUAUCUGAUUAGCUAGUUGGUGAGGUAAAGGCUCACCAAGGCGACGAUCAGUAGCUGGUCUGAGAGGACGACCAGCCACACUGGAACUGAGACACGGUCCAGACUCCUACGGGAGGCAGCAGUGGGGAAUUUUGGACAAUGGGCGCAAGCCUGAUCCAGCCAUUCCGCGUGAGUGAAGAAGGCCUUCGGGUUGUAAAGCUCUUUCGCAAGGGAAGAAAACUUACCUUCUAAUAAAGGGUGAGGUUGACGGUACCUUGAUAAGAAGCACCGGCUAACUACGUGCCAGCAGCCGCGGUAAUACGUAGGGUGCGAGCGUUAAUCGGAAUUACUGGGCGUAAAGCGUGCGCAGGCUGUUUUGUAAGUCAGAUGUGAAAUCCCCGAGCUCAACUUGGGAACUGCGUUUGAAACUACAAGACUAGAAUAUGUCAGAGGGGGGUAGAAUUCCACGUGUAGCAGUGAAAUGCGUAGAGAUGUGGAGGAAUACCAAUGGCGAAGGCAGCCCCCUGGGAUAAUAUUGACGCUCAUGCACGAAAGCGUGGGGAGCAAACAGGAUUAGAUACCCUGGUAGUCCACGCCCUAAACGAUGUCUACUAGUUGUUGGUGGAGUAAAAUCCAUGAGUAACGCAGCUAACGCGUGAAGUAGACC